UAGAGAUAAGGCGCUUCAGGACUACCGCAAGAAGUUGCUUGAACACAAGGAGAUCGACGGCCGUCUUAAGGAGUUAAGGGAACAAUUAAAAGAACUUACCAAGCAGUAUGAAAAGUCUGAAAAUGAUCUGAAGGCCCUACAGAGUGUUGGGCAGAUCGUGGGUGAAGUGCUUAAACAGUUAACUGAAGAAAAAUUCAUUGUUAAAGCUACCAAUGGACCAAGAUAUGUUGUGGGUUGUCGUCGACAGCUUGACAAAAGUAAGCUGAAGCCAGGAACAAGAGUUGCUUUGGAUAUGACUACACUAACUAUCAUGAGGUGAUAGAAUUACCUCUUACAAACCCAGAGUUAUUUCAGCGUGUAGGAAUAAUACCUCCAAAAGGCUGUUUGUUAUAUGGACCACCAGGUACGGGAAAAACACUCUUGGCACGAGCCGUUGCUAGCCAGCUGGACUGCAAUUUCUUAAAGGUUGUAUCUAGUUCUAUUGUAGACAAGUACAUUGGUGAAAGUGCUCGUUUGAUCAGAGAAAUGUUUAAUUAUGCUAGAGAUCAUCAACCAUGCAUCAUUUUUAUGGAUGAAAUAGAUGCUAUUGGUGGUCGUCGGUUUUCUGAGGGUACUUCAGCUGACAGAGAGAUUCAGAGAACGUUAAUGGAGUUACUGAAUCAAAUGGAUGGAUUUGAUACUCUGCAUAGAGUUAAAAUGAUCAUGGCUACAAACAGACCAGAUACACUGGAUCCUGCUUUGCUGCGUCCAGGAAGAUUAGAUAGAAAAA
Molecule: long non-coding RNA, 769 nt
Filed under: Homo sapiens (human)
Lineage: Eukaryota; Metazoa; Chordata; Mammalia; Primates; Hominidae
Description: HSALNT0211031
Source: RNAcentral